Gossypium raimondii (Peruvian cotton) is the source of this 1268-nucleotide long non-coding RNA. RefSeq lists it as uncharacterized. The record is from RefSeq and is a predicted model, not a curated record. The transcript has 2 exons. NCBI's taxonomy places the organism in Eukaryota, Viridiplantae, Streptophyta, Magnoliopsida, Malvales, Malvaceae.
ACAAAAUACAGUAAAGAAAAUAACAAGCAUCCAAAAAAAAACAAAAACCUAAAUAACCCCUAAUUCCUAACCCAUAAUGAAACUAGCAAUAAAAAGUCAUCCUAAAAGCCCAAACGCACUCACUUUAAUUCCUAUGCCUAGUUUCUAAAACGAGUGUCUUCUCCUGCUUUAAAGACCAAACGUCUGUAUUCCAUUCCCAAGACUCUCCAUUAUGCAAACAGAACUUUUAAUUUUUUUUAAUCGGUUAGGGUUCCCGAAGCUUCCUCCCCCCAGACCUACCCAGUCCUCUUCCGUCAUAUUCAAUCACCCUUGCCGCCGCUACUGGCAGCCAAUCAUCCAGAUCGAAUCAUAAAUACAUUUCCUCAGCAUGAGGUAGUGAAGCUUGAUGAGGGAACCUUUGUUUAGUGGAAACAACAGGUUCGUUUGAUUGUGGCUGGUUGCGAUUUGAUCGGUUUUCUUGAUGGUACUCUUUCGGCUCCAACGAGGUUCAUGCAAGCACCUGACGGUGCUCUUGUGCUUAAUUCGACCGCUUCGGCUUUUCAACAGCAGGAUCAUCUUCUAACAUCGUAGCUGCUCUCCACGGUUAGCUCCUCUUUCUUGUCUUCUUUUACAGAUGUACACACAGUUGCUGAUGUGUGGAUGACGGUGAGUGCAUUGUUUGCGGCCGCUACGGAUGCGAAGCAGUCCUGUUUACGUCAUGAGUUACAUUCUCUCAAGAAAGGGAAUCUCUAGAGUUGGGACUAUGUUGCGAAAUUGAAAGGGCUGUGUGCUCUCUUGGAAGCGUCUGGCACUCCAAUUUCGGCGGCAGAGCGAACGGUAGUUUUGCUUGUGGGUCUGCCCUUUAAGUUUGACGUCGUGGUGUCUUCGACAUCUCUGUCUCUGACUCCCUUGCCUCUUCAACGACUUGUUGAUGCCCUUGUUGAGUGUGAAAAUCAUCAGGCGCGGGCGGUUCAGGAGAUUGUUUUUCUUGCAAAUCUGGUGGAAGGCUCUUCGUCGUAGGCUUUGGACGGAUCUACUCGUGGUGGUCGUUUGUUCUCGCGUGGUCGUGGGAGGAGUUUUCGACCUCGUCUCCAGUGUCAAAUUUGUUCGAGGUUCGGCCAUGUCACCCAACGAUGUUAUUAUUGUUAUCAUCGAUGUCGAAACCAUUUUUUUUUUUAAAAAAUGGGGUCAACUUUGAAAAUGAAAAUGGGGGUCGUCAUCGAUCUUUUAUUAAGGUGUGUUCAGUUCACCAUUAAAAAUAAAUUUUAGGUCUGCGAGAUUUAAGAAAA